Molecule: ribosomal RNA, 1601 nt
Filed under: Salmonella enterica subsp. enterica serovar Enteritidis
Lineage: Bacteria; Pseudomonadati; Pseudomonadota; Gammaproteobacteria; Enterobacterales; Enterobacteriaceae
Description: partial 23S ribosomal RNA
Rfam family: Bacterial large subunit ribosomal RNA
Source: RNAcentral
GUUGUUGGGUAGGGGAGCGUUCUGUAAGCCUGCGAAGGUGGCCUGUGAGGGUUGCUGGAGGUAUCAGAAGUGCGAAUGCUGACAUAAGUAACGAUAAAGCGGGUGAAAAGCCCGCUCGCCGGAAGACCAAGGGUUCCUGUCCAACGUUAAUCGGGGCAGGGUGAGUCGACCCCUAAGGCGAGGCCGAAAGGCGUAGUCGAUGGGAAACGGGUUAAUAUUCCCGUACUUGGUGUUACUGCGAAGGGGGGACGGAGAAGGCUAUGUUGGCCGGGCGACGGUUGUCCCGGUUUAAGCGUGUAGGUGUGUGUUCCAGGUAAAUCCGGUUCACUUUAACACUGAGGCGUGACGACGAGGCACUACGGUGCUGAAGCAACAAAUGCCCUGCUUCCAGGAAAAGCCUCUAAGCAUCAGGUAACAUCAAAUCGUACCCCAAACCGACACAGGUGGUCAGGUAGAGAAUACCAAGGCGCUUGAGAGAACUCGGGUGAAGGAACUAGGCAAAAUGGUGCCGUAACUUCGGGAGAAGGCACGCUGACACGUAGGUGAAGUGAUUUACUCAUGGAGCUGAAGUCAGUCGAAGAUACCAGCUGGCUGCAACUGUUUAUUAAAAACACAGCACUGUGCAAACACGAAAGUGGACGUAUACGGUGUGACGCCUGCCCGGUGCCGGAAGGUUAAUUGAUGGGGUCAGCGCAAGCGAAGCUCCUGAUCGAAGCCCCGGUAAACGGCGGCCGUAACUAUAACGGUCCUAAGGUAGCGAAAUUCCUUGUCGGGUAAGUUCCGACCUGCACGAAUGGCGUAAUGAUGGCCAGGCUGUCUCCACCCGAGACUCAGUGAAAUUGAACUCGCUGUGAAGAUGCAGUGUACCCGCGGCAAGACGGAAAGACCCCGUGAACCUUUACUAUAGCUUGACACUGAACAUUGAGCCUUGAUGUGUAGGAUAGGUGGGAGGCUUUGAAGUGUGGACGCCAGUCUGCAUGGAGCCGACCUUGAAAUACCACCCUUUAAUGUUUGAUGUUCUAACGUGGACCCGUUACCCGGGUUGCGGACAGUGUCUGGUGGGUAGUUUGACUGGGGCGGUCUCCUCCUAAAGAGUAACGGAGGAGCACGAAGGUUGGCUAAUCCUGGUCGGACAUCAGGAGGUUAGUGCAAUGGCAUAAGCCAGCUUGACUGCGAGCGUGACGGCGCGAGCAGGUGCGAAAGCAGGUCAUAGUGAUCCGGUGGUUCUGAAUGGAAGGGCCAUCGCUCAACGGAUAAAAGGUACUCCGGGGAUAACAGGCUGAUACCGCCCAAGAGUUCAUAUCGACGGCGGUGUUUGGCACCUCGAUGUCGGCUCAUCACAUCCUGGGGCUGAAGUAGGUCCCAAGGGUAUGGCUGUUCGCCAUUUAAAGUGGUACGCGAGCUGGGUUUAGAACGUCGUGAGACAGUUCGGUCCCUAUCUGCCGUGGGCGCUGGAGAACUGAGGGGGGCUGCUCCUAGUACGAGAGGACCGGAGUGGACGCAUCACUGGUGUUCGGGUUGUCAUGCCAAUGGCACUGCCCGGUAGCUAAAUGCGGAAGAGAUAAGUGCUGAAAGCAUCUAAGCACGAAACUUGCCCCGAG